Molecule: ribosomal RNA, 642 nt
Filed under: Debaryomyces hansenii
Lineage: Eukaryota; Fungi; Ascomycota; Pichiomycetes; Serinales; Debaryomycetaceae
Description: eukaryotic LSU rRNA
Rfam family: 5.8S ribosomal RNA (bases 242-395)
Source: RNAcentral
UGAACAAGGUUUCCGUAGGUGAACCUGCGGAAGGAUCAUUACAGUAUUCUUUUUGCCAGCGCUUAAUUGCGCGGCGAAAAAACCUUACACACAGUGUUUUUUGUUAUUACAAGAACUCUUGCUUUGGUCUGGACUAGAAAUAGUUUGGGCCAGAGGUUUACUAAACUAAACUUCAAUAUUUAUAUUGAAUUGUUAUUUAUUUUAAUUGUCAAUUUGUUGAUUAAAUUCAAAAAAUCUUCAAAACUUUCAACAACGGAUCUCUUGGUUCUCGCAUCGAUGAAGAACGCAGCGAAAUGCGAUAAGUAAUAUGAAUUGCAGAUUUUCGUGAAUCAUCGAAUCUUUGAACGCACAUUGCGCCCUUUGGUAUUCCAAAGGGCAUGCCUGUUUGAGCGUCAUUUCUCUCUCAAACCUUCGGGUUUGGUAUUGAGUGAUACUCUUAGUCGAACUAGGCGUUUGCUUGAAAUGUAUUGGCAUGAGUGGUACUGGAUAGUGCUAUAUGACUUUCAAUGUAUUAGGUUUAUCCAACUCGUUGAAUAGUUUAAUGGUAUAUUUCUCGGUAUUCUAGGCUCGGCCUUACAAUAUAACAAACAAGUUUGACCUCAAAUCAGGUAGGACUACCCGCUGAACUUAAGCAUAUCAAAA